CAAAGUAUUCUAUGAACUGUCUUUUGGUAGAGUAUCAAUGACUCAAUCCAAGUUUCAAGUUCAAGUCUCAAAUAUUAAUUGCAAGAUCAAAUUUUGAGAUCAAGGUACCCACCAGAAGAAGGUGAGGCAAUAACUGAAGAUCCAAGAGGAAGACCGGAAGCAAGAAGAUCAAGACAAAUAGAAUAGACAGGAUCUUGUACUUUUAUUUCCAGUUUUACAUUUUUGAUGUAAUAAAAAGAGCCACGAACCGGAAACUCGAUGGGACCUCAACUCGACUCUCCAACUCAUCCAUUCAUUCCACUCUUACACCCAUUUAAAUUACACGUGACCUGAUCUCUUAUAACCCGAGAUAUGUAGGAUGCCCAAAGCCAGGGCUCGGUCACACCUUUUUCCUACUUAUUUACGUAUUACUUUUGAAUAAAUGGUUGGGCCAAAAAUUAGUCCUGUUCACUUCUUUGCUUGGAAAUUCUCCAUAUUUUCAAGCAAAGAAGGGGCAUUCUGUAAACACCUAAUUUUUGACCAAACUGAAUGUUUUACGUCAUUUAGUAUCUUAUUUUACAAGAUUGCUUUUAAAGUUUGGAAAACUACAAAAUAAAGUCAUAUUAAAAUAAGUUUUUUAUUUAUUUAUUUUUAUUACUUAUUUAUUUAUUUAAAAAAAAAAAAGAAGAAGAAGAAGUCAAAUCCUAAAUCUACCCAAACCACCCACAAUCCCCCACUCCUAAUCAACCUCCCCCACUAUCCCNN
RNAcentral lists this long non-coding RNA (744 nucleotides) under Capsicum annuum. RNAcentral's name for it is "long non-coding RNA (CANN_LNC012952)". The record is from RNAcentral. Lineage: Eukaryota; Viridiplantae; Streptophyta; Magnoliopsida; Solanales; Solanaceae.